Chelonia mydas (Green sea turtle) is the source of this 655-nucleotide long non-coding RNA. RefSeq lists it as uncharacterized. NCBI's taxonomy places the organism in Eukaryota, Metazoa, Chordata, Testudines, Cheloniidae. The record is from RefSeq and is a predicted model, not a curated record. The transcript has 3 exons.
CUGUCGUUGUCAGGGGCUGGUAACUCAGGAAGAAGAGCUCAUUCCAAUGACCAGAUCCACAAGUUAGUUCUCACAAGCAAUAGAAAUUCAGGACAACAAAAGGUAUCUGUGAAAGGUUCUUUUAGACUAAAAUUUGGUGAAGAUUAAAAGAGGGCAAAAGUUCAAAUGAGAACGAGCCGCUGCCAAGUAAGCAGGAAUCUUGGCAAAAGGGAAGGAAAAAGCACCAUCGGUUUAAAAGGCAAGUAACCAUGGCAAGCCAAUAGCUCCAUGCUAGAAUCUGGUUAAGAAGUAAUAUCACACAGAGCUGCGAUUGUUUAUUCAAGACUAGCCCAUGAGAGAACAGUUGUCUCCAAUGAGUAUUCUCACAGCUUGGAUCCAAAAUUGUGCUGAAUUGUGUGUGGUGGUGGUGCUCAGGACCUUAACUAUCAGGCUAGUGGAAAGCAGUCAAGGAGGAACUCUGAGGAGUCCAACGGAUGGAUGGUGAUCUCUGUGGAAGAGAAGCCCUCCGGAGAUGGAACAGUAGGAUAAGAAAUCCAGAAUUCGUGGUUAGAUUUGAAAACUUGAUCUUCAGCAUCUGAUCACUUGACAAUUCAAAGAUUUUUCUUGAGCAGAGAUAAUUAAGGUAGGAAUGGAACCAACUAUUGCCACAAUGGGG